GCAGUUCUCUUCUGCAGAUCAUUACGGCCAAACUGGAAGUAUCUGUAGAAGGCUGAUGAAUUUCUUGAAGUAACACUUGUCACACGCGGUGCAGAGAUUUUUUAAAAAAAAAACUAAGUAAACACAGUUCUCUGGGGGCCGAUUCCUGGAUGCCUCUGCCUCCGAGUGUGCGGCAAGAGCACAGCGCCCAUCCUACAAUUUAGGAUGCAGUGGAUUCAAGCUUUCUACCAGAGCUUCCGCCCAGCUCCCCUAAAAUAAACGAUCGCCUCUGAUCGGAUGUGCCAGGUGAAAAUGGGUAGAAUUAAAACUGUCAAUUCUGCUUCCAACGUGUGUCCUUCGAUGGAGUUCAAAGCUUUUAAAGUGAUGGAUUCGCAGCUGAGAUGUGGAUGCUUAAACCUGAAGCUUUCCGAGUGCUCGGAGAAAAGGCCGGAGUGGGCAGAGUUGAGAAGAAAGGCGGAAGGCUCCCUUUGAAAGUUACAAAUGGUGAAAAAGACCUGUAAUCCGAUGUGGAAAAUUGAGAAAUAGAGGCGGUGCACACUUUAGCUUAGGCAGAGGUUGCUGAAUCCUUUGAAGAAACUGACACGGAUUUUCCAGAGAUGGGAGGAAAGAGAGAGAUGAGGUGAGGGUGGGGGGAUGCUGGGGUGGGCAUUUUAUGUAAAUGAGUAAAUUUGAAGUGAGGCACAAAUCUAGAAGAGUAAAACUGACAGUUCUGACAGUAUUGACAGCAUAAAUAUAUGUUUGAACACUGCACUUUCAGACACUUAACCGAUGAAGCAAUAAAAAAAAAAUUC
Long non-coding RNA from Artibeus jamaicensis (Jamaican fruit-eating bat), 791 nucleotides. RefSeq lists it as uncharacterized. NCBI's taxonomy places the organism in Eukaryota, Metazoa, Chordata, Mammalia, Chiroptera, Phyllostomidae. The transcript has 3 exons. The record is from RefSeq and is a predicted model, not a curated record.